AUUGAACGCUGGCGGCAGGCCUAACACAUGCAAGUCGAGCGGAUGAAGGGAGCUUGCUCCUGGAUUCAGCGGCGGACGGGUGAGUAAUGCACAGGAAUAUGCUCGCCUGUGGGGGAUAAUGACCGGAAACGGGCGCUAAUACCGCCUACGUCCUGCGCGAGCAAGAGGGGGAGCUUCGGACAUCAUGCUAUCAGAUGAGCCUAGGUCGGAUUAGCGAGUUGGUGGGGUAGAGGCCUACUGAGGAGACGAUCCGUAACUGGGCUGAGAGGAUGAUCAGUCACACUGGGACGGCGGCACAGUCCAGACUCCAACGGGGGGCAGCAGUGGUGAAUAAGGGAGAAGGGGCGAAAGCCUGAUCCAGCCAGGCCGCGUGUGUGAAGAAGGUCGUCGGAGGGUAAAGCACUUUAAGUUGGGAGGAAGGGCAGUAAGUUAAUACCGUGCUGUUGUGACGAUACCAACAGAAUAGGCACCGGCUAACUGCG
RNAcentral lists this ribosomal RNA (482 nucleotides) under uncultured bacterium. RNAcentral's name for it is "partial 16S ribosomal RNA". It matches the Rfam family "Bacterial small subunit ribosomal RNA", at positions 29 to 505 of the family's 1533-position model. The record is from RNAcentral.